RNAcentral lists this ribosomal RNA (460 nucleotides) under uncultured bacterium. Its description in RNAcentral is "partial 16S ribosomal RNA". It matches the Rfam family "Bacterial small subunit ribosomal RNA", at positions 338 to 795 of the family's 1533-position model. The record is from RNAcentral.
CCUACGGGAGACUGCAGUGAGGAAUAUUGGUCAAUGGACGCAAGUCUGAACCAGCCAUGCCGCGUGCAGGAAGACGGCUCUAUGGUUGGUAAACUUCUUUUAUAUGGGAAUACAGUGAGGAACGUGUUCCUUUUUGUAUGUACCAUAUGAAUAAGCAUCGGCUAACUCCGUGCCAGCAGCCGCGGUAAUACGGAGGAUGCGAGCGUUAUCCGGAGUUAUUGGGUUUAAAGGGUGCGUAGGUGGUUAAUUAAGUCAGCGGUGACAGUUUGUGGCUCAACCAUAAAAUUGCCGUUGAAACUGGUUGACUUGAGUAUAUUUGAGGUAGGAGGAAGGCGUGGUGUAGCGGUGAAAUGCAUAGAUAUCACGAAGAACUCCGAUUGCGAAGGCAGCUUACUAAACUAUAACUGACACUGAAGCACGAAAGCGUGGGGAUCAAACAGGAUUAGAUACCCGGGUAGUC